CAGCAGCCACGGUAAUACGAAGGGUGCAAGCGUUAAUCGGAAUUACUGGGCGUAAAGCGUGCGUAGGCGGUGAGUCAAGUCUGCUGUGAAAUCCCCGGGCUCAACCUGGGAAUGGCAGUGGAUACUGGCUCGCUAGAGUGUGUCAGAGGAUGGUGGAACUCCCGGUGUAGCGGCGAAAUGCGUAGAGAUCGGGAGGAACAUCAGUGGCGAAGGCGGCCAUCUGGGACAACACUGACGCUGAGGCACGAAAGCGUGGGGAGCAAACAGGAUUAGAUACCCCCGUAGUCCCUGUCUCUUAUAC
RNAcentral lists this ribosomal RNA (301 nucleotides) under uncultured bacterium. RNAcentral describes it as "partial 16S ribosomal RNA". It matches the Rfam family "Bacterial small subunit ribosomal RNA", at positions 509 to 807 of the family's 1533-position model. The record is from RNAcentral.